CAUAUCAGUAAGCGGAGGAAAAGAAAAUAACAAUGAUUACCUUAGUAGCGGCGAGUGAAUAGGUAAAAGCCCAAGAUGUUAAUCUGCUAUAAUGUAGUAGAAU
RNAcentral lists this ribosomal RNA (103 nucleotides) under Klebsiella pneumoniae. Its description in RNAcentral is "partial 23S ribosomal RNA". It matches the Rfam family "Eukaryotic large subunit ribosomal RNA", at positions 39 to 143 of the family's 3401-position model. Lineage: Bacteria; Pseudomonadati; Pseudomonadota; Gammaproteobacteria; Enterobacterales; Enterobacteriaceae. The record is from RNAcentral.